GCCUAGUUAGCUUGGUUGGUAGCGCGUCUGCCUUGUAAGCGCUAGGGCGCGGGUUCGAUUCCCGCCCGGGGCG
Molecule: transfer RNA, 73 nt
Filed under: Diaphorina citri (Asian citrus psyllid)
Lineage: Eukaryota; Metazoa; Arthropoda; Insecta; Hemiptera; Psyllidae
Rfam family: tRNA
About the family: Transfer RNA (tRNA) molecules are approximately 80 nucleotides in length. Their secondary structure includes four short double-helical elements and three loops (D, anti-codon, and T loops).
Source: Rfam by way of RNAcentral